CUGAGCUGGGCAGGGGCUGCUGCUGAGAGGGGCUGGGUGGGGCAGGGCUGCUCCCAGCUCCAGACCUGCCUGGGCACAGCUCCGGAGGACACUUCCCAAAGAAGACAACAGGGGGAUGAGAGAAGCAGAACAGGAAUUGUAAUCCCAGAAUCACAGAACAUUCUGAGUUGAAAGGGACACACAGGAUCAUCAAAGGAAUGUUUGAACAUUUACACAGACUCCAGAACUGUGACUUAAGCUGGUCUCCAUGUUCAGCCCCAGCAAAUGUCCAAUAGCAGCUCCAACAGGCACUUCCUCCUGCUGGCAUUGGCAGACACGCAGCAG
Molecule: long non-coding RNA, 324 nt
Organism: Melospiza melodia melodia
Lineage: Eukaryota; Metazoa; Chordata; Aves; Passeriformes; Passerellidae
Exons: 3
Source: RefSeq, a predicted model, not a curated record